Molecule: ribosomal RNA, 253 nt
Filed under: uncultured bacterium
Lineage: Bacteria
Description: partial 16S ribosomal RNA
Rfam family: Bacterial small subunit ribosomal RNA
Source: RNAcentral
UACGGGGGGGGCAAGCGUUGUUCGGAAUUACUGGGCGUAAAGGGCUCGUAGGCGGCCAACUAAGUCAGACGUGAAAUCCCUCGGCUUAACCGGGGAACUGCAUCUGAUACUGGGGAUCUCGAGUCCGGAAGAGGUGAGUGGAACUCCGAGUGUAGAGGUGAAAUUCGUAGAUAUUCGGAAGAACACCAGUGGCGAAGGCGGCUCACUGGUCCGGUACUGACGCUGAGGUGCGAAAGCGUGGGGAGCAAACAGG